This 583-nucleotide ribosomal RNA is filed under the name Aureobasidium pullulans. Its description in RNAcentral is "partial large subunit ribosomal RNA". It matches the Rfam family "Eukaryotic large subunit ribosomal RNA", at positions 69 to 669 of the family's 3401-position model. Lineage: Eukaryota; Fungi; Ascomycota; Dothideomycetes; Dothideales; Saccotheciaceae. The record is from RNAcentral.
AAGGGAUUGCCUAGUACGGCGAGUGAAGCGGCAACAGCUCAAAUUUGAAAGCUAGCCUUCGGGUUCGCAUUGUAAUUUGUAGAGGAUGAUUUGGGGAAGCCGCCUGUCUAAGUUCCUUGGAACAGGACGUCAUAGAGGGUGAGAAUCCCGUAUGUGACAGGAAAUGGCACCCUAUGUAAAUCUCCUUCGACGAGUCGAGUUGUUUGGGAAUGCAGCUCUAAAUGGGAGGUAAAUUUCUUCUAAAGCUAAAUAUUGGCGAGAGACCGAUAGCGCACAAGUAGAGUGAUCGAAAGAUGAAAAGCACUUUGGAAAGAGAGUUAAAAAGCACGUGAAAUUGUUGAAAGGGAAGCGCUUGCAAUCAGACUUGUUUAAACUGUUCGGCCGGUCUUCUGACCGGUUUACUCAGUUUGGACAGGCCAGCAUCAGUUUCGGCGGCCGGAUAAAGGCUCUGGGAAUGUGGCCUCCACUUCGGUGGAGGUGUUAUAGCCCAGGGUGUAAUACGGCCAGCCGGGACUGAGGUCCGCGCUUCGGCUAGGAUGCUGGCGUAAUGGUUGUAAGCGACCCGUCUUGAAACACGGACCAA